RNAcentral lists this ribosomal RNA (379 nucleotides) under uncultured cyanobacterium. RNAcentral's name for it is "bacterial SSU rRNA". It matches the Rfam family "Bacterial small subunit ribosomal RNA", at positions 376 to 770 of the family's 1533-position model. The record is from RNAcentral. Lineage: Bacteria; Bacillati; Cyanobacteriota.
CGCAAGCCUGACGGAGCAAGACCGCGUGGGGGAGGAAGGCUCUUGGGUUGUAAACCCCUUUUCUCAGGGAAGAACAAAUGAUGGUACCUGAGGAAUCAGCCUCGGCUAACUCCGUGCCAGCAGCCGCGGUAAUACGGAGGAGGCAAGCGUUAUCCGGAUUUAUUGGGCGUAAAGCGUUCGCAGGUGGUUCUUCAAGUCUGCUGUCAAAGCACGGGGCUUAACUCCGUAAAGGCAGUGGAAACUGAAUAGUUAGAGUGCCGUAGGGGUAGAGGGAAUUCCCGGUGUAGCGGUGAAAUGCGUAGAGAUCGGGAAGAACAUCGGUGGCGAAAGCGCUCUACUGGACGGCAACUGACACUCAGGGACGAAAGCUAGGGGAGCG